RNAcentral lists this unclassified non-coding RNA (216 nucleotides) under Hevea brasiliensis (rubber tree). The record is from RNAcentral. Lineage: Eukaryota; Viridiplantae; Streptophyta; Magnoliopsida; Malpighiales; Euphorbiaceae.
GUCUACCCCGACUUAUCCAUAAAGCAUCGGGUUCUAACGAGUCAAGCUACAGCCGCGUCUACCCGUCUUGUCCAUAACCAAUAUCACACACCAAAUGCAUGCCAACACAUGCACGCUGCUUCAAAUUAUCAUAAAACAUCCAUAAUAUUUCAUCAAAUAAAGAUACGAUAUAAAAUGUGCCUAGUAUUUAAUUACAUAAAUAUAUAUUUAUAAGUG